This 497-nucleotide ribosomal RNA is filed under the name uncultured bacterium. RNAcentral describes it as "partial 16S ribosomal RNA". It matches the Rfam family "Bacterial small subunit ribosomal RNA", at positions 28 to 507 of the family's 1533-position model. The record is from RNAcentral.
GAUGAACGCUGGCGGCGUGCCUAAUACAUGCAAGUCGAGCGAACGGACGAGAAGCUUGCUUCUCUGAUGUUAGCGGCGGACGGGUGAGUAACACGUGGAUAACCUACCUAUAAGACUGGGAUAACUUCGGGAAACCGGAGCUAAUACCGGAUAAUAUUUUGAACCGCAUGGUUCAAAAGUGAAAGACGGUCUUGCUGUCACUUAUAGAUGGAUCCGCGCUGCAUUAGCUAGUUGGUAAGGUAACGGCUUACCAAGGCAACGAUGCAUAGCCGACCUGAGAGGGUGAUCGGCCACACUGGAACUGAGACACGGUCAAGAAUCCUACGGGAGGCAGCAGUAGGGAAUCUUCCGCAAUGGGCGAAAGCCUGACGGAGCAACGCCGCGUGAGUGAUGAAGGUCUUCGGAUCGUAAAACUCUGUUAUUAGGGAAGAACAUAUGUGUAAGUAACUGUGCACAUCUUGACGGUACCUAAUCAGAAAGCCACGGCUAACUACGUG